This 130-nucleotide microRNA precursor is filed under the name Mesocricetus auratus (golden hamster). RNAcentral describes it as "miRNA (ENSMAUG00000001756.1)". The record is from RNAcentral. Lineage: Eukaryota; Metazoa; Chordata; Mammalia; Rodentia; Cricetidae.
GGGUUCUCUGUAUAGCUUUGGAGCCUGUCCUGGCACUCACUCUAUAGACCAGGCUGGUUUCGAACUCACAGAAAUCCACCUGCCUCUGCCUCCUGAGUGCUGGGACUAAAGGCAUGCACCACCAACGCCC